This 793-nucleotide ribosomal RNA is filed under the name uncultured bacterium. RNAcentral describes it as "bacterial SSU rRNA". It matches the Rfam family "Bacterial small subunit ribosomal RNA", at positions 56 to 827 of the family's 1533-position model. The record is from RNAcentral.
UGCAAGUCGAACGCGAAAGUCCCCUUCGGGGGGCAAGUAGAGUGGCGCACGGGUGAGUAACACGUAGGUAAUCUACCUUUGGAUGGGGAAUAACAACCGGAAACGGUUGCUGAUACCGCAUAAUGCAGCGGCACCUAAUGGUGACAGUUGUUAAAGCGGGGGAUCGAAAGACCUCGCGUCUAAAGAGGAGCCUGCGGCGGAUUAGCUAGUUGGUAAGGUAACGGCUUACCAAGGCGACGAUCCGUAGCCGGCCUGAGAGGGCGGUCGGCCACACUGACACUGACAUACGGGUCAGACUCCUACGGGAGGCAGCAGUCGGGAAUUUUGGGCAAUGGGCGAAAGCCUGACCCAGCAACGCCGCGUGAAGGAUGAAAUCCCUCGGGAUGUAAACUUCGCAAAAACGGGAAGAAUAAGUAGGGGACAAUACCCCCUAUGAUGACGGUACCGUUUGUAAGCUCCGGCUAACUCCGUGCCAGCAGCCGCGGUAAUACGGGGGGAGCAAGCGUUGUUCGGAUUUACUGGGCGUAAAGGGCGCGUAGGCGGCCAGCACAAGUCAGUUGUGAAAUCUCCGAGCUUAACUCGGAAAGGUCAACUGAUACUGUGCGGCUAGAGUGCGGAAGGGGCAACUGGAAUUCUUGGUGUAGCGGUGAAAUGCGUAGAUAUCAAGAGGAACACCUGCGGCGAAGGCGGGUUGCUGGGCCGACACUGACGCUGAAGUGCGAAAGCCAGGGGAGCGAACGGGAUUAGAUACCCCGGUAGUCCUGGCCUUAAACGAUGAAUGCUUGGUGUCUGG